UUGGCACCUCGAUGUCGGCUCAUCGCAUCCUGGGGCUGAAGUAGGUCCCAAGGGUUGGGCUGUUCGCCCAUUAAAGCGGUACGCGAGCUGGGUUCAGAACGUCGUGAGACAGUUCGGUCCCUAUCUGUCGUGGGCGCAGGAAAUUUGAGAGGAGCUGUCCUUAGUACGAGAGGACCGGGAUGGACGUACCGCUGGUGCAUCAGUUGUUCCGCCAGGAGCAUGGCUGAGUAGCUACGUACGGACGGGAUAAGCGCUGAAAGCAUCUAAGCGUGAAGCCCCCCUCAAGAUGAGAUUUCCCAAUUAGUAAGACCCCUUGAAGACCACGAGGUAGAUAGGUUGGAGGUGGAAGUGCAGCAAUGCAUGGAGCUGACCAAUACUAAUCGGUCGAGGGCUUAUCCAAA
RNAcentral lists this ribosomal RNA (401 nucleotides) under Paenibacillus sp. P3E. RNAcentral's name for it is "bacterial LSU rRNA". It matches the Rfam family "Bacterial large subunit ribosomal RNA", at positions 2518 to 2925 of the family's 2925-position model. The record is from RNAcentral. Lineage: Bacteria; Bacillati; Bacillota; Bacilli; Caryophanales; Paenibacillaceae.